AAAUGGUGGUGAGUUGGAUACAGUAAAUAACUCUAACCGCAGUUUACUACACCACGCUUGUCGACUAGGUACCACUGAAACCGUUACGUAUUUGGUUAAUGAAGUAAACUUAGACAUUAAUCACAAAAACAAUAAUGGUCGUACACCAGCAUUUUUUUGUUGUUGGUCUGAGAUUAACCCUGUUGAUAAACUGAUGAUAUUAUCGUCAAAUGGUGGUGAGUUGGAUACAGUAGAUAAAUCUAACCUCAGUUUACUACACCACGCUUGUCAAAGUGGUACCACUGAAACCGUUAAGUAUUUGGUAAAUGAAGUUAAAUUAGAUAUACACCAUAUAGAUAACGACAAUGACACUCCAUUAUUAUGUUGUUUCUUUUCAAAGAUUCAAAAGAUGGAAAAGAUUUAUUUUCUGAUAUCAAAAGGUGCUCAGAUCACUAUAUGUCGACCAUAUAAAGAUGUCCUGAAGGACGAGGAUGACUAUGAUAAAUGUAAUUAUCUAUUACAUCAUAGCUGUUAUCUAGGUACAUUAGAAACAGUGAAAUAUUUAGUCAAUGAUGCUGGAUACGAUGUAAAUUAUACUGACGAUGACAAUAUGACAGCUUUGAUCUGGUGUUUUAAAACAAAGAUUGGACGGAAGGAAAAGAUUAAUUUCCUCUUAUCUAAAGGUGCAAAGAUAGUUUAAUCAUAUAAACAUUACCUUCAAUCAUAUCCUCCAACCUUGUUAGUUUUCUCCGGGUUCUCCGGCUUCCUCCCAUAUGUUAGUCCCAAAAUGACCUAGUUUGUGUCGUGUGGACAUUAAACACCAUGAAGUGUACGCAUAGGCAUACAGGGAAAUUUUUGACUGGGGGGGCGGUGGUGGUUGGUGUCCAAAAAAUGUAGUUAGGUUCUUAGUAUGUUACAUCAUAAUAAUAAAUUCGCUGUUAAAUUGGACACAUUCAAGAACACAAUAUUUUUUUUAUACAACUUUUACAAAGUACAAUUGUGUGCCCAAAUUUUCCCAGCAUUUGGUGCCCAAAAUGGGGGGGGGGGGGGCGGCCGCCCCCCAGCCCCCCCAGCUUGUACGCCUAUGAGUGUACGUGUUGUUAGGUCAUUAUUAAAUUAGAAAAAAUCAACAGAAUGUUUAUUACGUGACUCAAGAGCAAUGCCAUGUUUUCUUGUCAAAUAAUGGAGUCGUGGAACAUAAUCCAGUACUUAUUAUAAAUAUGUAAAUUUAUAUCUAACGAGGUUGAUACUUGAGAACAUGUUAAUAUUUAUAUCUAACGAGGUUGAUACUCGAGAAUAUGUUAAUAUUUAUAUCUAACCUGGUUAAUACUCGAGAAUAUGUUAAUAUUUAUAUCUAACGAGGUUGAUACUCGAGAAUAUGUUAAUAUUCAUGUUCUGUAUAUUUAAAGUUUCUAGUUAAAUCAAGAAAAAUACAUUACAGAAAACAAAAUGAAAUGGUGUUUAACGACCUACUUUACUGUUCGGCACCAAAUGGUCUAAUGAAGACGCGUCAAAAAUAACAAAGAUUUCAGUUUCACUCAUAAUGUUUACCUGAUCCUCACGAAAAGGUUCAAUGUCACUAUCUCAAAAGGUACUUUUAACAAUCGCAUGGUAUUGGUUCGUAUUACUCCAGGUUAACAAAUAGUUUUAGACUCAACAAAAUUCAAAAAGCCCAAAAUUAAAUGAUGAAUUUACUCUUUCGCGUUAUUGCACUGGAACAGAUCUAAACAAUUUGUCCGUUUGCAUAUGUAAAAGAAUUUAUUAUUAUAUAUACUCCAAUAUGCCAAUAACUUGUUUUCAAAACUAAUACGAGCUUGAUCGAUAAAUGAUAAUCCUUAAUCUGCGCAUGUAGAAGAUUUGAAAGUGAUAUUUUCUUGGUUGACCCUUUUCCCGUCAAAAUCAUAAUAUGUAAUAUAUAAUAAGGUCUAAUUCAAAUCAUAAUAUGUAAUAUAUAAUAAGGUCUAAUUCAAAUCAUAAUAUGUAAUAUAUAAUAAGUAUAAUACACAUUUAACCCACCUGAGUAUUAAAUAUAAACAUGAAUAUUCGACCUUGUCGUUAUGAUUAUUAUUGUAUUUGUUUACAAGUUAAAGAUAGUGGUAUAAAAUCAAUAAAAACAAAUGUAAACAUAAUUUAGAACUAAGCGAUUUGAAUAAUGAUUGUGAUUGAUCCAAAAAUAAUUAUUAUAUUUAAACCAGGUAUACAUCAGUUAGAUCUGAAUGAUCUGAAUAAUGAUUAUAUUUACCUAUAUAUCAUCAAUAUAUUUAAUCUUAUUACAUGUAUAUUCAGGGUUUAAUUAUCAUUUGUCAUGUUUUUUGUAUCCUCGUGUAACUAUGGUUCAUGAUUUUAAUCAUCUGUCUGUUGACAAUAAGAAACGUGUAUUGUUAAUUUUAUUAUACCUUUCGCCAACGUUUUGCCUGGUUCACUACACAAGUUUUUUAGGUAGGCUUUAGUCUUGACUUUGUAAUGACUGUUUCGGUACUCUAUCUUUUAAACACAGGGUCUUGUCAGUAGAAGACAGAUUAUUGUUGUCAAAAAUGUGUGGUUUGGGGUACCACGAGGACCGGUGGGCCCAACCCUGUCCACUAUGUAAACAGCACCAAUAGUUAGAAAUGAAAUGAAAUGAAAUAAACCAUCUAAAUCUGUUAAUUUCCAUGACAGUAAAUAUUUGUACUUGUAGAAUAUAUUAAUGAAAUGAAAUUAAAAUUUGGAUGUCAAAUAAUUCCUUAUGUUUAAAUGUACACGUGUUAACUAUUAUUUAUCACAUAGUUUUACGAAUUUAUUAUUUAGUUACAAUAUAUGUUAAUAAUGUUACUCUGUCAAUACAUCUGCCAUAUUAAAAGUUAACACGCCUUCAAGGAACCGAUGAAGUGAAUACAAUAGCUGUUAUUUCUUGGUAUAUAGAAAAACCUUUUCUUAUCACACUCCAAACCUUUGGAAUAAACACCCUCUUGCUAUCUGAAACAGCGGUGUCUCGGUUGAAUACGCCCCCCCCCCCCUUGCUAUCAGAAACAGCUGUGUCUCGGUUGAAUAAACCCUCUCUUGCUAUCAGAACCAGUGGUGCCUCGGUUGCUAUUAGAACCAGUGGUGCCUCGGUUGCUAUUAGAAACAGCGGUGUCUCAGUUUAAUAAACCCCCUCUUGCUAUCAGAAGCAGGGGUGUCUCAGUUGAAUAAACCCCUCUUGCUAUAAGAAACAGUGGAGCCUCAGUUGAAUACCCCCCCCCCCCUUGUUUUUUAUGUUGAUAGUUCUUAUUAAAAAUCUUAUGGAAGCUUUACAAGUUAAAUAUAGAUAUUAAUAUAUUUGAUUUAAUUGUACAAGUUAUAUAGAUAUAUUUAUAUAUUAUAUUUUAUUGAUGUCAUAUCCUAUUAUAACUAAAGGGUGAUAUCGUAGACAAGCUAAAGGUCUUGUAGAGGGAAGGUAUAUAUUUAAUAUUUUAUUGUAAGUUAUUUAUAUAUUGUAUUGACGUCAUAUCCUGUGAACGCUUGAGAGACGGAUGUGCUCUAUAUAUAUGUCGUUAUGAUAAAUAAAUCAGGAACAAGGCAUGUUGUAUUCUUAAUGCCAACUAAUUACCCAUAAUAGUCCGUGUUCUUAUAUAACAAUCUCUUUUAAUCAAUUUAAAUUUAUAUAAAAACAGAAAGGUGUCAAGAUUAAUUACUGUACCUGCGCAGUGAUUUCACCUGUAAGAAUUAGAAUACCUAGAAACAGAAUUGGAUUUAAUAUGUCAACACAAGAGUAGAAAUGUAGAUUCAUUAGAUUAAUAUUUAUUUAAACUAUUACUAUACAUUACAGAAAACAAAAUGAAAUGGUGUUUAACGACAUACUUUACUGUAGCUUUUGAUUAAAUGUUUUACAUCUUGUAUAUAUGAUUAAAUGUUUUACAUCUUGGAUGUAAAUUUAAAAAUUCAAUCUUUAAAUAAAUAAAAUGUUUUUAAUCUGU
Patella vulgata (common limpet) is the source of this 3914-nucleotide long non-coding RNA. RefSeq lists it as uncharacterized. Lineage: Eukaryota; Metazoa; Mollusca; Gastropoda; Patellidae. The record is from RefSeq and is a predicted model, not a curated record. The transcript has 2 exons.